AUGAGUCAUCGAUAACCUCAGAGAAGAUGAGUUCCAGUCCAUGAACGAUGAGUGAACAAGAAGGGCCAUGCUUAGACUUAUGGACCACAAGUUAUUCCCAUUGAUGAAACACACAGAAACUGAAUAACAAAGGCACCUACGAGUCGUCAUUCCUUCGACGAGCCCUAGGUGGCCUUCCGUUGGUGAAACUGCCCAGAACCGGAU
This 204-nucleotide long non-coding RNA is filed under the name Solanum tuberosum (potato). Its description in RNAcentral is "long non-coding RNA (STUB_LNC009778)". The record is from RNAcentral. Lineage: Eukaryota; Viridiplantae; Streptophyta; Magnoliopsida; Solanales; Solanaceae.